This 301-nucleotide ribosomal RNA is filed under the name uncultured bacterium. Its description in RNAcentral is "partial 16S ribosomal RNA". It matches the Rfam family "Bacterial small subunit ribosomal RNA", at positions 509 to 807 of the family's 1533-position model. The record is from RNAcentral.
CAGCCGCCGCGGUAAAACGUAGGUGGCAAGCGUUGUCCGGAAUUAUUGGGCGUAAAGGGCUCGCAGGCGGUUUCUUAAGUCUGAUGUGAAAGCCCCCGGCUCAACCGGGGAGGGUCAUUGGAAACUGGGAAACUUGAGUGCAGAAGAGGAGAGUGGAAUUCUACGUGUAGCGGUGAAAUGCGUAGAGAUGUGGAGGAACACCAGUGGCGAAGGCGACUCUCUGGUCUGUAACUGACGCUGAGGAGCGAAAGCGUGGGGAGCGAACAGGAUUAGAUACCCCUGUAGUCCCUGUCUCUUAUAC